UUUUAAUCCAUAUCCACCUUGUGUGCAAUGUCAGUCGAUCUUCUUCAUGGAGAUCGACCAAACAUCAACCUUUAUUUUUUAACUCUUUGUCUGAAAAAUAUUAUGAAUAAACAAUUCAAAAUACAACUUUCAACAACGGAUCUCUUGGCUCUCGCAUCGAUGAAGAACGCAGCGAAAUGCGAUACGUAAUGUGAAUUGCAGAAUUCAGUGAAUCAUCGAAUCUUUGAACGCAUAUUGCGCUCUUUGGUAUUCCGAAGAGCAUGCUUGUUUGAGUAUCAGUAAACACCUCAAAGCUUUUGGAUUUUUUAAUCGAAAAGCUUUGGACUUGAGCAAUCCCAACACCAAUCUUUUUGAGAUCGGUGGCGGGUUGCUUGAAAUGCAGGUGCAGCUGGACAUUCUCCUGAGCUAAAAGCAUAUUCAUUUAGUCCCGUCAAACGGAUUAUUACUUUUGCUGCAGCUAACAUAAAGGGAGUUUGACCGUAUUGGCUGACUGAUGCAGGAUUUCACAAGGGUCGGCAACGAUUCUUGUUAAACUCGAUCUCAAAUCAAGUAAGACUACCCGCUGAACUUAAGCAUAUCAA
Molecule: ribosomal RNA, 581 nt
Filed under: Linnemannia elongata
Lineage: Eukaryota; Fungi; Mortierellomycota; Mortierellomycetes; Mortierellales; Mortierellaceae
Description: eukaryotic LSU rRNA
Rfam family: 5.8S ribosomal RNA (bases 125-278)
Source: RNAcentral